UCCUCCAGAACAACAGCAUAAUUGAUCCAAAAAAACAACAGAAGGAAAGGAGGAGCAGAUUGCCCACGCAGCCAUUCAUGUCCAGCACAUUACUGCAGGUCCCGAGUUCAAAGUGGGUCAAGGAUGAAAUAUCAGAAUCACCGAGGCUACGAGAUCAAAGGUAAAACCAGCGGCAAGUGAAAUCGGUGAGCCGAUCAGGGAGGCUGGAGUUUAUUUUGGCAGCGUACCUCUGCAUCCCAGCAGCGCUGAGGGUGAGAAGCCAAGCACUCAGCUGUGAGGGGAGCCCAGCCUGGCCUUUUGGACACUGGAGGCAGGUGGAUAGCGGGUCAGGAUAGAAGAGAAAGCAGCAUGGAUCCUGCCAGUCACACAGGGCCCAGAAGACUGAGUGGCCAGGCCCUGCAGGACCAACUGGCAGAUGGCUGCCUCAGGAUAAUGACCAGGUGACAUCUGCAGAGUGAACAAGCCAUCAGGCUAACAGACUCACCUUGACCCACCAGGGAAGCCAAGCUGCCCAUUCUCAACCUCCUCCUCCUGCAAUUCCCUCAGGUCACACCCACAAACCGAGAAGUGUAACAGAAGUUUAUUGAUUUACUAAGUUUCUCAACUCCCCCAAAAAAGAGGUGUGAGAAAGUCUUGAAAAAACAUUAACAGAUUUUAUGUGGGUGUUUGAAUUGAGUUUUCUUUUAUUCACUGGAGAUUCAGUUGCUGCCUCUUUCAGUGCUGAAGAACUUUGGAGUAAAUUUGUCUCCUCUUCUUUUUCAUUUGUGGUUUUUCUGUGAUUCUUAGCAAAACUCCUCGAGACAUUAAAAUAUUAUCAGACAGACCAGACUCGGAAUAACUUCUGGAAUAUGGUCGAGCUAUACAAAAUAAAAAUUGCUGCUUUUUUUUGUUAUUUUGCUCACAGUGUUACUAUUGACAUGUGAUUUUGAAAAGGCAAGGUUUGUGCUGUGUCUAAAGACUCUAACUCGUACACAUUGACUACGUGAUGCUGUGCACAAAGGUCAUCUUUUGACAGCGCUGAGAUCAGGAAAAGGUCAGACUCCUUGUGCCAUUUGGGAAAGAGGCAGUGUGAGACCAAGCUGCCAAUAUAAUUUCAGCAUGUCUUUUUCAUCUGAGUGUUAACACCAUACAUUGUUUACUAAAUAGUUUACUGUGGCUGUAUGACUGCUGGCAAACUGAUGUUAGGGAUGAAGUUAGGAAAACUUUGGAGGCUGAAAGAAGUGCAGUGUUGAAUGAGAAUGAAUUGAAAAGAGCCUUGCAGCUGCAACGCUUGUGCACACUAAGUGAAAUUGAAAUAUGCCGUUUCUGUGUUUUGUGUUCGAGUGUACAGAAAGUAAGUAAGUUAGAAAGUAAGUAA
This is a long non-coding RNA of Epinephelus fuscoguttatus (brown-marbled grouper), 1357 nucleotides long. RefSeq lists it as uncharacterized. Lineage: Eukaryota; Metazoa; Chordata; Actinopteri; Perciformes; Serranidae. The transcript has 3 exons. The record is from RefSeq and is a predicted model, not a curated record.